GACGAACGCUGGCGGCGUGCUUAACACAUGCAAGUCGAACGGAAAGGCCCUGCUUUUGUGGGGUGCUCGAGUGGCGAACGGGUGAGUAACAUGUGAGUAACCUUCCCUUUACUUUGGGAUAACUUCAGGAAACUGGUGCUAAUACCUGAUAGGAGCUCCUGCUGCAUGGUGGGGUUUGGAAAGUUUCGGCGGUUGGGGAUGGACUCGCGGCUUAUCAGCUUGUUGGUGGGGUAGUGGCUUACCAAGGCUUUGACGGGUAGCCGGCCUGAGAGGGUGACCGGGCACAUUGGGACUGAGAUACGGCCCAGACUGCUACGGGAGGCAGCAGGGGGGAAUAUUGCACAAUGGGCGGAAGCCUGAUGCAGAAACGCCGCGUGCGGGAUGACGGCCUUCGGGUUGUAAACCGCUUUCGCCUGUGACGAAGCGUGAGUGACGGUAAUGGGUAAAGAAGCACCGGCUAACUACGUG
Molecule: ribosomal RNA, 468 nt
Filed under: uncultured bacterium
Lineage: Bacteria
Description: partial 16S ribosomal RNA
Rfam family: Bacterial small subunit ribosomal RNA
Source: RNAcentral